Molecule: non-coding RNA, 71 nt
Organism: Phrynosoma platyrhinos (Desert horned lizard)
Lineage: Eukaryota; Metazoa; Chordata; Lepidosauria; Squamata; Phrynosomatidae
Source: the annotation of a GenBank genome assembly
GCCAGUGUGGUGUAGUGGUUUGAGUGUUGGUCUAUGACUCUAGGGACCAGAGUUCAAUUCCCUGCUUGGUG